Transfer RNA from Cavia porcellus (domestic guinea pig), 64 nucleotides. It matches the Rfam family "tRNA". Rfam says of the family: Transfer RNA (tRNA) molecules are approximately 80 nucleotides in length. Their secondary structure includes four short double-helical elements and three loops (D, anti-codon, and T loops). NCBI's taxonomy places the organism in Eukaryota, Metazoa, Chordata, Mammalia, Rodentia, Caviidae. The record is from Rfam.
GGGGAUUUAGCUCAGUGGCAUAAGCACCUGCCUUCCAAGCAGGUGGUCGUGAGUUCAAUCCCUG